GGGGAGGGCCGGGAGCCUAGAAUGUCAGAGCGAAUGUCAGGGCAUCCGGGCCCACUCCGCGCCUUACAGACGCAGACAGGGGCUUGGAGAGAGGAAGUCCCCAAGGCCACCUGGAGAGAGAGAGAGAAGCCGAGGCCAUGCAGCCAGAGGACAGGGCAGAGAUCGAAACACGAGGCUUCUGGAUCCAAUUCAGUAACCCUUCUGUUCCCCCACCAGCUUUCAGAAAAUGGUUCCUCCCUCCCCUUGCACUCCUCCUCCUCCCUCCCUCCCACCCUCCCUUCCUCCCUCUCCUCCUGCCCUUCCCCCCUUUCCACAAACAGUGGAGAACCUUCCGUGUGCCAGGUACUUCUCCGCGUUUAUUCCUUCAGCCACCAGGGGCCAUUUUAGGGGCGAGCAGAGGAACCAUACUGAGAGGCACACUGUCCCACAGUCCUGUGUCCGCGCUGGCCCUGUCUCCCAGGCGGCCAUUUGGGGACCCGAGGACAAGGUUGCUGUUCCCUGCCUCCCCUGGGAUGACGGUGGAAAGUGGAGAUGCGCUUCUGUCUGUGUCCCUAGACCACUCCAAUCAGCUAAACGAAGGCCAACCACGGACGCUGGCAUCUAGGGCUCCGACUGUCCCGGCUCCCGGGCGGGCGGCAGAGGCACGGGACAGGUCAAGCCACCAGUCGGCAAGGCAGUUACUUCCAGGCGAGAGGUGAAGGUGACCUUGCCCUUGAUGAAGGCUCCAGGAAGCCCUGGGAACCGCGGCUUCUCGGCCAGAUCCACGGGGGAGGACUGUCACUGGGAGGGUGGGAAGACGAUGGAGGGGCUGGACUGUCCCUUCAGCGUGUCGGCGAUCCGGGACCCCCGGUGGUCCCGACUCAGGUGCACAGGACCUCACGGUAACCUUGUCAGAGCUGCUCAGAACGGACCCAGAGCUUGGUGGUCCCCUUCUUUGGGACCCUCGGGUGUUGUGUCCCUCCUGGCUAAGCUUGCUCCACAGAUGGUCAAUAAAGGAGGUGACAGAGGCCA
RNAcentral lists this long non-coding RNA (1011 nucleotides) under Felis catus (domestic cat). RNAcentral's name for it is "lncRNA (ENSFCAG00000041324.2)". The record is from RNAcentral. Lineage: Eukaryota; Metazoa; Chordata; Mammalia; Carnivora; Felidae.